UGAACAUGGACCGAUACAACCCACGAGCAGCAUCUGACAUGGAAACAACCAAUUCUACCUGCUGAUUGAUAACAAAAGAGUGCUAAAUAAAGGGUUGGAAAUAAAAGGAGUAAUGAAGUACAGGUGUGACUGAUGAUGAGAAGCAGGUUCCUGAACGCACCCUGUCUGGUUGCUAGGCAACGAAGUUAGGCAGGAGAUCUAGUAAUUACCCGCACCUGCAUCUCAUCAACCUUCUGCACACCUGGUCCUGAUCAUCACCUGUUCUUAAGCCCUGAGCUGACAUCCAUUCCCUGCCGGAUCGUUAGCAACGAACAUCUUUCUCCCGGAACAUUCAACUCCCUUGCCUGGCCGUCGGUGGAUACAGUGACUUCAUUGGAUCAACCCAUUUACUCUCAUCAACUCACCUCCACUGCCGCUCCGUCUCCUGGAUUACUCAAUAUAAACAUCAAGAC
This 452-nucleotide long non-coding RNA is filed under the name Salmo salar (Atlantic salmon). RNAcentral describes it as "lncRNA (ENSSSAG00000120070.1)". Lineage: Eukaryota; Metazoa; Chordata; Actinopteri; Salmoniformes; Salmonidae. The record is from RNAcentral.